Molecule: transfer RNA, 69 nt
Filed under: Marmota monax (woodchuck)
Lineage: Eukaryota; Metazoa; Chordata; Mammalia; Rodentia; Sciuridae
Description: tRNA.Ala
Source: RNAcentral
GGAACAUAGCUCAUUUGGUAGAGUGCUUGCCUAGCAUGUACAAGGCCCUGGGUUCAAUUCCCAGCACCA